UAUAGCCUACGGGGGGCAGCAGUGGGGAAUAUUGCACAAUGGGGGAAACCCUGAUGCAGCGACGCCGCGUGAGUGAAGAAGUAUUUCGGUAUGUAAAGCUCUAUCAGCAGGGAAGAAAAUGACGGUACCUGACUAAGAAGCCCCGGCUAACUACGUGCCAGCAGCCGCGGUAAUACGUAGGGGGCGAGCGUUAUCCGGAUUUACUGGGUGUAAAGGGAGCGUAGACGGCCAUGCAAGCUCGGUGUGAAAGGUGCGGGCACAACCCGCAGACUGCACUGAGAACUGUAUGGCUGGAGUGCCGGAGG
Molecule: ribosomal RNA, 305 nt
Filed under: uncultured bacterium
Lineage: Bacteria
Description: bacterial SSU rRNA
Rfam family: Bacterial small subunit ribosomal RNA
Source: RNAcentral